This 992-nucleotide ribosomal RNA is filed under the name uncultured Shigella sp. RNAcentral describes it as "bacterial SSU rRNA". It matches the Rfam family "Bacterial small subunit ribosomal RNA", at positions 127 to 1109 of the family's 1533-position model. Lineage: Bacteria; Pseudomonadati; Pseudomonadota; Gammaproteobacteria; Enterobacterales; Enterobacteriaceae. The record is from RNAcentral.
UGCCUGAUGGAGGGGGAUAACUACUGGAAGCGGUAGCUUAUUACCGCACAACGUCGCAAGACCAAAAAAGGGGGGACCUUCGGGCCUCUUGCCAUCGGGAUGUGCCCAGAUGGGAUUAGCUAGUAGGUGGGGUAACGGCUCACCUAGGCGACGAUCCCUAGCUGGUCUGAGAGGAUGACCAGCCACACUGGAACUGAGACACGGGUCCAGACUCCUACGGGAGGCAGCAGUGGGGAAUAUUGCACAAUGGGCGCAAGCCUGAUGCAGCCAUGCCGCGUGUAUGAAGAAGGCCUUCGGGUUGUAAAGUACUUUCAGCGGGGAGGAAGGGAGUAAAGUUAAUACCUUUGCUCAUUGACGUUACCCGCAGAAGAAGCACCGGCUAACUCCGUGCCAGCAGCCGCGGUAACACGGAGGGUGCAAGCGUUAAUCGGAAUUACUGGGCGUAAAGCGCACGCAGGCGGUUUGUUAAGUCAGAUGUGAAAUCCCCGGGCUCAACCUGGGAACUGCAUCUGAUACUGGCAAGCUUGAGUCUCGUAGAGGGGGGUAGAAUUCCAGGUGUAGCGGUGAAAUGCGUAGAGAUCUGGAGGAAUACCGGUGGCGAAGGCGGCCCCCUGGACGAAGACUGACGCUCAGGUGCGAAAGCGUGGGGAGCAAACAGGAUUAGAUACCCUGGUAGUCCACGCCGUAAACGAUGUCGACUUGGAGGUUGUGCCCUUGAGGCGUGGCUUCCGGAGCUAACGCGUUAAGUCGACCGCCUGGGGAGUACGGCCGCAAGGUUAAAACUCAAAUGAAUUGACGGGGGCCCGCACAAGCGGUGGAGCAUGUGGUUUAAUUCGAUGCAACGCGAAGAACCUUACCUGGUCUUGACAUCCACGGAAGUUUUCAGAGAUGAGAAUGUGCCUUCGGGAACCGUGAGACAGGUGCUGCAUGGCUGUCGUCAGCUCGUGUUGUGAAAUGUUGGGUUAAGUCCCGCAACGAGCGCAACCCUUAUC